CUUGCGGGGUGGAUCAGUGGCGAACGGGUGAGUAACACGUGAGCAACCUGCCCCUGACUCUGGGAUAAGCGCUGGAAACGGCGUCUAAUACUGGAUACGAGACGUGAUCGCAUGGUCAACGUUUGGAAAGAUUUUUCGGUUGGGGAUGGGCUCGCGGCCUAUCAGCUUGUUGGUGAGGUAAUGGCUCACCAAGGCGUCGACGGGUAGCCGGCCUGAGAGGGUGACCGGCCACACUGGGACUGAGACACGGCCCAGACUCCUACGGGAGGCAGCAGUGGGGAAUAUUGCACAAUGGGCGCAAGCCUGAUGCAGCAACGCCGCGUGAGGGAUGACGGCCUUCGGGUUGUAAACCUCUUUUAGCAGGGAAGAAGCGAGAGUGACGGUACCUGCAGAAAAAGCACCGGCUAACUACGUGCCAGCAGCCGCGGUAAUACGUAGGGUGCAAGCGUUAUCCGGAAUUAUUGGGCGUAAAGAGCUCGUAGGCGGUUUGUCGCGUCUGCUGUGAAAUCUGGGGGCUCAACCCCCAGCCUGCAGUGGGUACGGGCAGACUAGAGUGCGGUAGGGGAGAUUGGAAUUCCUGGUGUAGCGGUGGAAUGCGCAGAUAUCAGGAGGAACACCGAUGGCGAAGGCAGAUCUCUGGGCCGUAACUGACGCUGA
This 657-nucleotide ribosomal RNA is filed under the name unidentified microorganism. Its description in RNAcentral is "bacterial SSU rRNA". It matches the Rfam family "Bacterial small subunit ribosomal RNA", at positions 79 to 749 of the family's 1533-position model. The record is from RNAcentral.